UCUGGGAUAACUCCGGGAAACCGGUGCUAAUACUGGAUAGGACUUCGCAUCGCAUGGUGUGGGGUGGAAAGUUUUUCGGCUGAGGAUGGGCCCGCGGCCUAUCAGCUUGUUGGUGGGGUAAUGGCCUACCAAGGCGACGACGGGUAGCCGGCCUGAGAGGGCGACCGGCCACACUGGGACUGAGACACGGCCCAGACUCCUACGGGAGGCAGCAGUGGGGAAUAUUGCGCAAUGGGCGAAAGCCUGACGCAGCGACGCCGCGUGAGGGAUGACGGCCUUCGGGUUGUAAACCUCUUUCAGCUCUGACGAAGCGAAAGUGACGGUAGGAGCAGAAGAAGCACCGGCCAACUACGUGCCAGCAGCCGCGGUAAUACGUAGGGUGCAAGCGUUGUCCGGAAUUAUUGGGCGUAAAGAGCUCGUAGGCGGUUUGUCGCGUCGAAUGUGAAAACCCGGGGCUCAACUCCGGGCCUGCAUUCGAUACGGGCAGACUAGAGUUCGGUAGGGGAGACUGGAAUUCCUGGUGUAGCGGUGAAAUGCGCAGAUAUCAGGAGGAACACCGGUGGCGAAGGCGGGUCUCUGGGCCGAUACUGACGCUGA
This 597-nucleotide ribosomal RNA is filed under the name Nakamurella sp. Its description in RNAcentral is "bacterial SSU rRNA". It matches the Rfam family "Bacterial small subunit ribosomal RNA", at positions 137 to 749 of the family's 1533-position model. Lineage: Bacteria; Bacillati; Actinomycetota; Actinomycetes; Nakamurellales; Nakamurellaceae. The record is from RNAcentral.